Oryzias latipes (Japanese medaka) is the source of this 129-nucleotide non-coding RNA. The record is from Rfam. Lineage: Eukaryota; Metazoa; Chordata; Actinopteri; Beloniformes; Adrianichthyidae.
UAUUAAACUAAUACCACCAUGAACACAUCCGAUCGCGUCCGAUCUUGUCCGAUCUCGGCUGCUAAGCAGGGUCGGGCCUGGUUAGUACUUGGACGGAGGACCGCCUCGGAAUACCAGGAGCUGUACAAA